GGCCUGCCCACUGAGGAAUUAAAUGGCCGCGGUAUACUGACCGUGCAAAGGUAGCAUAAUCAUUAGUUUUUUAAUUGAAAGCUGGAAUGAAAGGUUAGAUGAGAAAAUAACUGUCUCUAUUUAAAUUUAUUAGAAUUUUAUAUUUAAGUAAGAAAGCUUAAAUUUUAAUAAAAGACGAGAAGACCCUAUAGAGUUUUAAUUUGGUUGGGGUGAUUGAAAAAUUUAAGAAACUUUUUUUUUAUUUUUACAUUUAUUUAUGAGUAAUUGAUCCUUAGGAUAGAUUAUAAGAGUAAAUUACCUUAGGGAUAACAGCGUAAUUUUUUUUGAGAGCUCUUAUCGAAAAAAGAGAUUGCGACCUCGAUGUUGGAUUAAAAUUAAAUUUUGGUGUAGAAGCUAG
This 397-nucleotide ribosomal RNA is filed under the name Heteroglymma sp. 1 EMC-2007. RNAcentral's name for it is "partial 16S ribosomal RNA". It matches the Rfam family "Archaeal large subunit ribosomal RNA", at positions 1946 to 2634 of the family's 2987-position model. Lineage: Eukaryota; Metazoa; Arthropoda; Insecta; Coleoptera; Curculionidae. The record is from RNAcentral.